CCUACGGGUGGCAGCAGUGGGGAAUAUUGCACAAUGGGGGAAACCCUGAUGCAGCGACGCCGCGUGAGCGAUGAAGUAUUUCGGUAUGUAAAGCUCUAUCAACAGGGAAGAAAAUGACGGUACCUGACUAAGAAGCUACGGCUAACUACGUGCCAGCAGCCGCGGUUAUACGUAGGGAGCACGCGUUAUCCGGAUUUACUGGGUGUAAAGGGAGCGUAGACGGCUGUGCACGCCAGAGGUGAAAGCCCGGGGCUCAACCCCGGGACUGCAUUUGGAACUGUGUGGCUGGAGUGUCGGAGAGGCAGGCGGAAUUCCUGGUGUAGCGGUGAAAUGCGUAGAUAUUAGGAGGAACACCAGUGGCGAAGGCGGCCUGCUGGACGAUGACUGACGUUGAGGCUCGAAAGCGUGGGGAGCAAACAGGAUUAGAUACCCCUGUAGUC
Molecule: ribosomal RNA, 440 nt
Filed under: uncultured bacterium
Lineage: Bacteria
Description: partial 16S ribosomal RNA
Rfam family: Bacterial small subunit ribosomal RNA
Source: RNAcentral